RNAcentral lists this ribosomal RNA (423 nucleotides) under uncultured bacterium. Its description in RNAcentral is "bacterial SSU rRNA". It matches the Rfam family "Bacterial small subunit ribosomal RNA", at positions 355 to 775 of the family's 1533-position model. The record is from RNAcentral.
UGAGGAAUAUUGGUCAAUGGGCGCAAGCCUGAACCAGCCAUCCCGCGUGAAGGAAGAAGGCGCUAUGCGUUGUAAACUUCUUUUCCAGGGGGAGAAUUUUUCCGUCGUGACGGGAAUUGACGGUACUCUGGGAAUAAGCAUCGGCUAACUCCGUGCCAGCAGCCGCGGUAAUACGGAGGAUGCGAGCGUUAUCAGGAUUUAUUGGGUUUAAAGGGUGCGUAGGCGGAUUGAUAAGUCAGUGGUGAAAGGCUGCAGCUUAACUGUAGACUUGCCGUUGAUACUGUCAGUCUUGAGUAUGGUCAAGGCAGGCGGAAUGUGUAAUGUAGCGGUGAAAUGCUUAGAUAUUACACAGAACACCGAUUGUGAAGGCAGCUUGCUGGGCCGUCACUGACGCUCAUGCACGAAAGCGUGGGGAUCGAACAG